RNAcentral lists this ribosomal RNA (1346 nucleotides) under uncultured bacterium. Its description in RNAcentral is "partial 16S ribosomal RNA". It matches the Rfam family "Bacterial small subunit ribosomal RNA", at positions 28 to 1381 of the family's 1533-position model. The record is from RNAcentral.
GACGAACGUUGGCGGCGUGCUUAACACAUGCAAGUCGAACGGAAAGGCCCUGCUUUUGUGGGGUGCUCGAGUGGCGAACGGGUGAGUAACACGUGAGUAACCUGCCCUUGACUUUGGGAUAACUUCAGGAAACUGGGGCUAAUACCGGAUAGGAGCUCCUGCUGCAUGGUGGGGGUUGGAAAGUUUCGGCGGUUGGGGAUGGACUCGCGGCUUAUCAGCUUGUUGGUGGGGUAGUGGCUUACCAAGGCUUUGACGGGUAGCCGGCCUGAGAGGGUGACCGGCCACAUUGGGACUGAGAUACGGCCCAGACUCCUACGGGAGGCAGCAGUGGGGAAUAUUGCACAAUGGGCGGAAGCCUGAUGCAGCAACGCCGCGUGCGGGAUGACGGCCUUCGGGUUGUAAACCGCUUUCGCCUGUGACGAAGCGUGAGUGACGGUAAUGGGUAAAGAAGCACCGGCUAACUACGUGCCAGCAGCCGCGGUGAUACGUAGGGUGCGAGCGUUGUCCGGAUUUAUUGGGCGUAAAGGGCUCGUAGGUGGUUGAUCGCGUCGGAAGUGUAAUCUUGGGGCUUAACCCUGAGCGUGCUUUCGAUACGGGUUGACUUGAGGAAGGUAGGGGAGAAUGGAAUUCCUGGUGGAGCGGUGGAAUGCGCAGAUAUCAGGAGGAACACCAGUGGCGAAGGCGGUUCUCUGGGCCUUUCCUGACGCUGAGGAGCGAAAGCGUGGGGAGCGAACAGGCUUAGAUACCCUGGUAGUCCACGCUGUAAACGGUGGGUACUAGGUGUGGGGUCCAUUCCACGGGUUCCGUGCCGUAGCUAACGCUUUAAGUACCCCGCCUGGGGAGUACGGCCGCAAGGCUAAAACUCAAAGGAAUUGACGGGGCCCCGCACAAGCGGCGGAGCAUGCGGAUUAAUUCGAUGCAACGCGUAGAACCUUACCUGGGUUUGACAUGGAUCGGGAGUGCUCAGAGAUGGGUGUGCCUCUUUUGGGGUCGGUUCACAGGUGGUGCAUGGCUGUCGUCAGCUCGUGCCGUGAGAUGUUGGGUUAAGUCCCGCAACGAGCGCAACCCUUGUUCACUGUUGCCAGCACGUUAUGGUGGGGACUCAGUGGAGACCGCCGGGGUCAACUCGGAGGAAGGUGGGGAUGACGUCAAGUCAUCAUGCCCCUUAUGUCCAGGGCUUCACGCAUGCUACAAUGGCUGGUACAGAGAGUGGCGAGCCUGUGAGGGUGAGCGAAUCUCGGAAAGCCGGUCUCAGUUCGGAUUGGGGUCUGCAACUCGACCUCAUGAAGUCGGAGUCGCUAGUAAUCGCAGAUCAGCAACGCUGCGGUGAAUACGUUCCCGGGGCU